CCAGUUCGGAUGCAGGCUGCAACCCGCCUGCGUGAAGUUGGAAUCGCUAGUAAUCGCGGAUCAGCAUGCCGCGGUGAAUACGUUCCCGGGCCUUGUACACACCGCCCGUCACACCAUGAGAGUCGGGAACACCCGAAGUCCGUAGCCUAACCGCAAGGGGGCGCGGCCGAAGGUGGGUUCGAUAAUUGGGGUGAAGUCGUAACAAGGUAAC
Molecule: ribosomal RNA, 211 nt
Filed under: uncultured bacterium
Lineage: Bacteria
Description: partial 16S ribosomal RNA
Rfam family: Bacterial small subunit ribosomal RNA
Source: RNAcentral